Molecule: transfer RNA, 76 nt
Filed under: Patescibacteria group bacterium
Lineage: Bacteria
Description: tRNA-Thr
Rfam family: tRNA
About the family: Transfer RNA (tRNA) molecules are approximately 80 nucleotides in length.
Source: RNAcentral
GCCGUUGUAGCUCAGCUGGUAGAGCAAUUCCCUCGUAAAGAAUAGGUCAGCGGUUCGAUCCCGCUCAACGGCUCCA